UACGGAGGGGGCUAGCGUUGUUCGGAAUUACUGGGCGUAAAGCGCACGUAGGCGGAUCAGUAAGUUAGAGGUGAAAGCCCAGGGCUCAACCCUGGAACUGCCUUUGAUACUGCUAGUCUAGAGAUCGAGAGAGGUGAGUGGAAUUCCGAGUGUAGAGGUGAAAUUCGUAGAUAUUCGGAGGAACACCAGUGGCGAAGGCGGCUCGCUGGCUCGAUACUGACGCUGAGGUGCGAAAGCGUGGGGAGCAAACAGG
RNAcentral lists this ribosomal RNA (253 nucleotides) under uncultured bacterium. RNAcentral describes it as "partial 16S ribosomal RNA". It matches the Rfam family "Bacterial small subunit ribosomal RNA", at positions 524 to 776 of the family's 1533-position model. The record is from RNAcentral.